RNAcentral lists this ribosomal RNA (328 nucleotides) under uncultured eukaryote. RNAcentral describes it as "partial 18S ribosomal RNA". It matches the Rfam family "Eukaryotic small subunit ribosomal RNA", at positions 1470 to 1796 of the family's 1831-position model. The record is from RNAcentral.
CCCUUAGAUGUCCGGGGCUGCACGCGCGCUACACUGAAGGAAUCAGCGUGCUAAAACCAUUGUCGAAAGGCAUUGGUAAACCCAUUAAAAUCCUACGUGAUUGGGAUCGGGAAUUGCAAUUAUUUCCCUUGAACGAGGAAUUCCCAGUAAGUGUGGGUCAUAAGCUCGCGUUGAUUACGUCCCUGCCCUUUGUACACACCGCCCGUCGCUGCCCGGAACUGAGCCGUUUCGAGAAAAGCGGGGACUGCUGCUGUCGGGGCUUUCGGGCCUUGGCUUCGGUGGAAACCGCUUUAAUCGCAGUGGCUUGAACCGGGCAAAAGUCGUAACA